This 500-nucleotide ribosomal RNA is filed under the name uncultured bacterium. RNAcentral's name for it is "partial 16S ribosomal RNA". It matches the Rfam family "Bacterial small subunit ribosomal RNA", at positions 30 to 523 of the family's 1533-position model. The record is from RNAcentral.
AUUGAACGCUGGCGGCAUGCCUUACACAUGCAAGUCGAACGGCAGCACGGGAGCAAUCCUGGUGGCGAGUGGCGAACGGGUGAGUAAAGUAUCGGAACGUGCCCAGUCGUGGGGGAUAACGUAGCGAAAGUUACGCUAAUACCGCAUACGAUCUAUGGAUGAAAGCGGGGGAUCGCAAGACCUCGCGCGAUUGGAGCGGCCGAUAUCAGAUUAGGUAGUUGGUGGGGUAAAGGCUCACCAAGCCGACGAGCUGUAGCUGGCCUGAGAGGACGCCCAGCCACACGGGGACUGAGACACGGGCCAGACUCCUACGGGAGGCAGCAGUGGGGAAUUUUGGACAAUGGGCGCAAGCCUGAUUCAGCCAUGCCGCGUGCAGGAUGAAGGCCUUCGGGUUGUAAACUGCUUUUGUACGGAACGAAAAGGUUUGGCCUAAUAAGCUGAGCUCAUGACGGUACCGUAAGAAUAAGCACCGGCUAACUACGUGCCAGCCGCCGCAGUAA